This 201-nucleotide unclassified non-coding RNA is filed under the name Hevea brasiliensis (rubber tree). The record is from RNAcentral. Lineage: Eukaryota; Viridiplantae; Streptophyta; Magnoliopsida; Malpighiales; Euphorbiaceae.
GUUUGAGUCUAUGCUCUUACAGGUCGAAUUGGCAUAAAAUGAAAGCAUUCAGGACACUUCGAACUCUAAACAUCUUUGCAUCAAAACCCCAAAAUUCAAAUUCCCAUCUCUUCAAUCGAAUUCUUCUCUCUCAUUUCUUCUCAGCUCAACCUGAGCAAAACCAAAGUGAAAACGACAAUAAUGACUCGUUUUUUGACAGCA